Molecule: transfer RNA, 63 nt
Filed under: Rhizophagus aeneus
Lineage: Eukaryota; Metazoa; Arthropoda; Insecta; Coleoptera; Monotomidae
Description: tRNA-Ile
Source: RNAcentral
AAUGAAGUGCCUGAUUAAAGGGUUAUCUUGAUAGGGUAAAUAAUGCAUUAUGUGCCUUCAUUA